GAUGAAGAACGUAGUGAAAUGCGAUAAGUAUUGUGAAUUGCAGAAUCCAGUGAAUCAUCGAGUCUUUGAACGCACAUUGCGCCCCCUGGUAUUCCGGGGGGCAUGCCUGUCCGAGCGUCAUUGCUGCCCUCAAGCACGGCUUGUGUGUUGGGCCUCCGUCCUCCUCCCGGGGGACGGGCCCGAAAGGCAGCGGCGGCACCGCGUCCGGUCCUCGAGCGUAUGGGGCUUCGUCACCCGCUCUUGUAGGCCCGGCCGGCGCUUGCCGACACAUCAAUCUUUUUUCCAGGUUGACCUCGGAUCAGGUAGGGAUACCCGCUGAACUUAAGCAUAUCAAUAAGCGGAGGA
RNAcentral lists this unclassified non-coding RNA (345 nucleotides) under soil metagenome. RNAcentral's name for it is "partial contains 5.8S ribosomal RNA, internal transcribed spacer 2, and large subunit ribosomal RNA". The stretch from base 1 to 120 matches the Rfam family "5.8S ribosomal RNA", at positions 35 to 154 of the family's 154-position model. The record is from RNAcentral.